Molecule: ribosomal RNA, 253 nt
Filed under: uncultured bacterium
Lineage: Bacteria
Description: partial 16S ribosomal RNA
Rfam family: Bacterial small subunit ribosomal RNA
Source: RNAcentral
UACGUAGGGGGCAAGCGUUGUCCGGAUUUAUUGGGCGUAAAGAGCGUGUAGGCGGUCAGGUAGGUCCGUUGUGAAAACUCGAGGCUCAACCUCGAGACGCCGAUGGAAACCAUCUGACUAGAGUCCGGAAGAGGAGAGUGGAAUUCCUGGUGUAGCGGUGAAAUGCGCAGAUAUCAGGAAGAACACCCGUGGCUAAGGCGGCUCUCUAGUACGGUACUGACGCUGAGACGCGACAGCGUGGGGAGCAAACAGG